GGGCCCGCACAAGCAGUGGAGUAUGUGGUUUAAUUCGAAGCAACGCGAAGAACCUUACCAGGUCUUGACAUCGUGCGCAUAGCCUAGAGAUAGGCGAAGCCCUUCGGGGCGCAUAGACAGGUGGUGCAUGGUUGUCGUCAGCUCGUGUCGUGAGAUGUUGGGUUAAGUCCCGCAACGAGCGCAACCCUUAUGAUUAGUUGCUACGCAAGAGCACUCUAAUGAGACUGCCGUUGACAAAACGGAGGAAGGUGGGGAUGACGUCAAAUCAUCAUGCCCCUUAUGACCUGGGCUACACACGUACUACAAUGGCGCUCAAACAAAGGGAAGCGACACCGCGAGGUGAAGCGGAUCCCAAAAAAGCGUCUCAGUUCGGAUCGCAGGCUGCAACCCGCCUGCGUGAAGUCGGAAUUGCUAGUAAUCGCAGAUCAGCAUGCUGCGGUGAAUACGUUCCCGGGCCUU
This 459-nucleotide ribosomal RNA is filed under the name uncultured bacterium. Its description in RNAcentral is "bacterial SSU rRNA". It matches the Rfam family "Bacterial small subunit ribosomal RNA", at positions 917 to 1382 of the family's 1533-position model. The record is from RNAcentral.